This 468-nucleotide ribosomal RNA is filed under the name uncultured bacterium. Its description in RNAcentral is "partial 16S ribosomal RNA". It matches the Rfam family "Bacterial small subunit ribosomal RNA", at positions 28 to 507 of the family's 1533-position model. The record is from RNAcentral.
GACGAACGCUGGCGGCGUGCUUAACACAUGCAAGUCGAACGGAAAGGCCCUGCUUUUGUGGGGUGCUCGAGUGGCGAACGGGUGAGUAACACGUGAGUAACCUGCCCUUGACUGUGGGAUAACUUCAGGAAACUGGGGCUAAUACCGGAUAGGAGCUCCUGCUGCAUGGUGGGGGUUGGAAAGUUUCGGCGGUUGGGGAUGGACUCGCGGCUUAUCAGCUUGUUGGUGGGGUAGUGGCUUACCAAGGCUUUGACGGGUAGCCGGCCUUGGAGGGUGACCGGCCUCAUUGGGACUGCGAUACGGCCCAGACUCCUACGGGAGGCAGCAGUGGGGAAUAUUGCACAAUGGGCGGAAGCCUGAUGCAGCAACGCCGCGUGCGGGAUGCCGGCCUUCGGGUUGUAAACCGCUUUCGCCUGUGACGAAGCGUGAGUGACGGUAAUGGGUAAAGAAGCACCGGCUAACUACGUG